AGCAGCCGCGGUAAUUCCAGCUCCAAUAGCGUAUAUUAAAGUUGUUGCAGUUAAAAAGCUCGUAGUUGAAUUUCGGGGUCAGUAGGAUGGUCGUGCCAAUGGUAUGUACUGGCCUUACUGAUUCCUCCUUCUUGAAGAACUGUAAUGCCAUUAAUUUGGUGUUGCAGGGAAUCAGGACUGUUACUUUGAAAAAAUUAGAGUGUUUAAAGCAGGCUUACGCUUGAAUACAUUAGCAUGGAAUAAUGAAAUAGGAUGUUGAUCUUAUUUUGUUGGUUUCUAGGAUUGACGUAAUGAUUAAUAGGGAUAGUUGGGGGCAUUAGUAUUCAAUUGUCAGAGGUGAAAUUCUUGGAUUUAUUGAAGACUAACUACUGCGAAAGCAUUUGCCAAGGAUGUUUUCAUUAAUCAAGAACGAAAGUUAGGGGAUCGAAGACGAUCAGAUACCGUCGUAGUCUUAACCAUAAACUAUACCGACUAGGGAUCGGAUGAUGUUAAUUUUUUAAUGACUCAUUCGGCGCCUUAA
This 520-nucleotide ribosomal RNA is filed under the name uncultured Glomus. RNAcentral's name for it is "SSU rRNA". It matches the Rfam family "Eukaryotic small subunit ribosomal RNA", at positions 569 to 1091 of the family's 1831-position model. Lineage: Eukaryota; Fungi; Glomeromycota; Glomeromycetes; Glomerales; Glomeraceae. The record is from RNAcentral.